This 460-nucleotide ribosomal RNA is filed under the name uncultured bacterium. RNAcentral's name for it is "partial 16S ribosomal RNA". It matches the Rfam family "Bacterial small subunit ribosomal RNA", at positions 338 to 795 of the family's 1533-position model. The record is from RNAcentral.
CCUACGGGGGGCAGCAGUGAGGAAUAUUGGUCAAUGGACGAGAGUCUGAACCAGCCAAGUAGCGUGAAGGAUGACUGCCCUAUGGGUUGUAAACUUCUUUUAUAUGGGAGUAAAAUGUUCCACGUGUGGGAUUUUGUAUGUACCAUAUGAAUAAGGAUCGGCUAACUCCGUGCCAGCAGCCGCGGUAAUACGGAGGAUCCGAGCGUUAUCCGGAUUUAUUGGGUUUAAGGGGAGCGUAGGUGGAUUGUUAAGUCAGUUGUGAAAGUUUGCGGCUCAACCGUAAAAUUGCAGUUGAAACUGGCAGGCUUGAGUACAGUAGAGGUGGGCGGAAUUCGUGGUGUAGCGGUGAAAUGCUUAGAUAUCACGAAGAACUCCGAUUGCGAAGGCAGCUCACUGGACUGCAACUGACACUGAGGCUCGAAAGUGUGGGUAUCAAACAGGAUUAGAUACCCGAGUAGUC